Molecule: ribosomal RNA, 786 nt
Filed under: Triticum aestivum (bread wheat)
Lineage: Eukaryota; Viridiplantae; Streptophyta; Magnoliopsida; Poales; Poaceae
Description: partial small subunit ribosomal RNA
Source: RNAcentral
AUGAACCACACUCUAAAACCAGUAUUACGCAUAUGUGCUUUGGUAUUUUUUGAUGAUAUAUUGAUCUUCUCAGCUACCUUCGAGCAGCACUUGCAGCACCUUCGAGAGGUUUUGCACCUUUUGCGCAAGGAUAAGUGGCAAGUCAAGGCUUCCAAAUGCUCUUUUGCUCAGCGAGAACUUUCUUACUUGGGGUUCGUCGUUAGUGAACAGGGGGUGUCCACCGAACCAGACAAAAUUCAGCAAGUCCAACAGUGGCCUGUUCCGCUCAAUGUCAAACAGUUGCGUCAAUUCUUGGGGCUUUCAGGAUAUUAUCGCAAGUUCGUUCGUCACUAUGGCAUCAUUGCCAAACCUUUGACACAUUUGCUGAAGAAACAUGUUCCUUUUGUUUGGACAAGCGAUUGCACAACUGCAUUUGACACCCUGAAGCACUCUUUGGUGACAGCUCCGGUUCUCGCUCUACCAAAUUUUAGCAAGCAAUUCGUCGUCGAGACUGACGCAAGCGACCUGGGAGUCGGAGCAGUUCUACAGCAAGAGGGACAUCCAUUGGCAUUCUUGAGUAAACCUUUGGGACCGCGUAACAAGGGGCUGUCCACUUAUGAAAAAGAGCUUCUUGCAAUCUUGAUAGCCGUUGAACAUUGGCGACCAUACUUGCAAACAGCCGAGUUCUUGAUCAAAACAGAUCAACGCAGUUUGGUGCAUCUCGAAGACCAACGGUUAAAUACCCCAUGGCAACAAAAGGCAUUCACCAAGUUGUUGGGUCUUCGCUACAGAUUGUGCUACCGGAAA